UUGCUCUUCAACGAGGAAUGCCUAGUAAGCGUGAGUCAUCAGCUCACGUUGAUUACGUCCCUGCCCUUUGUACACACCGCCCGUCGCUACUACCGAUUGAAUGGCUUAGUGAGAUCUCCGGAUUGGCUUUGGGAAGCUGGCAACGGCUACCUAUUGCUGAAAAGCUGAUCAAACUUGGUCAUUUAGAGGAAGUAAAAGUCGUAACAAGGUUUCCGUAGGUGAACCUGCGGAAGGAUCAUUAAUGAAUUUAGAUUGAACCAUAGGCGAAAGCCAGUGGUUCUUCUUUCAUAUCCAUAACACCUGUGCACUGUUGGGUGCUUGCAUCCACUUUUAAACUAAACAUUAUUGUAACAAAUGUAGUCUUAUUAUAACAUAAUAAAACUUUCAACAACGGAUCUCUUGGCUCUCGCAUCGAUGAAGAACGCAGCGAAAUGCGAUAAGUAAUGUGAAUUGCAGAAUUCAGUGAAUCAUCGAAUCUUUGAACGCACCUUGCGCUCCUUGGUAUUCCGAGGAGCAUGCCUGUUUGAGUGUCAUGAAACCCUCAAACCCAAGUUUUGGAUUUCGAUCCAUGCUUGAGUUUGGAUUUGGAUGUUUGCCGGUGAUGAACCGACUCAUCUUAAAAGUAUUAGCUUGGAUCUGUCUAUAUGACUGGUUUGACUUGGCAUAAUAAGUAUUUUGCUGAGGACAUCUUCGGAUGGCCAGGACCUAGACUACUGUCUGCUAACUAAACCAUCACUUUAAGUGCAUCUUUGGAUGUUACUCAUUGUGUAACUUUGACAUCUGGCCUCAAAUCAAGUAGGACUACCCGCUGAACUUAAGCAUAUCAAUAAGCGGAGGA
RNAcentral lists this ribosomal RNA (838 nucleotides) under uncultured fungus. RNAcentral's name for it is "eukaryotic LSU rRNA". The stretch from base 1 to 241 matches the Rfam family "Eukaryotic small subunit ribosomal RNA", at positions 1593 to 1831 of the family's 1831-position model. Lineage: Eukaryota; Fungi. The record is from RNAcentral.